Long non-coding RNA from Carassius carassius (crucian carp), 264 nucleotides. RefSeq lists it as uncharacterized. The record is from RefSeq and is a predicted model, not a curated record. Lineage: Eukaryota; Metazoa; Chordata; Actinopteri; Cypriniformes; Cyprinidae. The transcript has 3 exons.
GUUUUUUUUUUCUCGACAGUGCAAUCGCUCUGGCAGCUGCUUAGGUGGCUCCAAACUGGUCAGUUCGACCUCUCCUGCUUCAUCUUCGAGAAGUCUUUAAGUCAUUCGGUGGCUUUUUUUCCCGACAGUAUCAUGACUUAGGGUGAUGCAGUGCAAGAUAUGCAGAUUUGAACACCCUGCCCAGGAGGUCCUUUUGAAACAUGACCAAUUGUGCGACUACCAGGGAAGAUAUUGCCAACUACCCUGCCUCUACACAGAUUGCAU